Molecule: long non-coding RNA, 1273 nt
Organism: Vombatus ursinus (common wombat)
Lineage: Eukaryota; Metazoa; Chordata; Mammalia; Diprotodontia; Vombatidae
Exons: 3
Source: RefSeq, a predicted model, not a curated record
GACAAAGAAUUCACCAAUCACCUCCUGAGAGAAACCCCAAAAUGAACCAAGAACCAAGGAGGCAAAGUCAGAAUAACUCAUGAUUUGGCUGCCAGCAUUGUAAAAGAGCAGAGAGCUUGAAAUAUGAUAUUCUAGAAGGCAAAUGGUACAGGCUUAAAGCAAAGAAUAACUUACCCAUAAAAACUGAGAAGAAUCCUACAAGGGGAAAAUGGAUCUUUAAUGAAAUAGAGGACUUCCAAGCAUACCUGACAAAAAGACCAGAGCUAUACAGAAACUUCAAAGCGCAAAGACAAGAGUCAAGGAGAACAUAACGAGGAAAAAAAGUGAUGAAAGUGUUCCUGGAAACUCAGAAGAGCUCGAAUGAACAGAUGCAGAGUGAAACGAGCCAAACCUGGAGAACAAUGCGUCCAGUGACUCCACCAGGGGUAGGAAACCUGGGGCCUCGAGGCCAUGCAUGGUCCUCUAGGUCCUCAAGUGCGGCCCUUCGACUGAAUCCAAACUUCACAGAACAAAUCUUUUAAAUACGACACCGGGUAACUGGAAACAGCCGUGAAGAACUCUAGCCAAGGAGCUGAAUAACUGCACUCCGAGGAAAGAUGAGGAAUGAGGAUGCCUCCCGGCAGGCAGGGGAUGGCCCAGAAGCAUGUGGGUUUGCUUUGCUUAACUCUAUUUGCUAGGAGGCCUUGAAUGGAGAAUCAGACAUCGGCCUUGGCCACAAGGACUUCACAGGAGCGGGCUGGGGGAAGUGUCGGGGCAGAAGCCUCUUUGGAAGGGGCCAGGGGAGAGCGAAUAGAAGGUCAGGAAGCGGAAGCCAGGAAGAAGGGAGCCCUUUCAAUCCCUCUGGGAGGAAGAAGCAGGACAGAUGUGGCAGUAGUUGGAUGGACCCGAAGAGAUGAAGGAAGAUUCUCCACUCCGCAUCUGCUGCCCCGCCUGGUUCAGCUCUGCCCCCACUCCCCCUCCCUCUUCCCUGCCUCCUUUCGUGGCCCCCCAUUAGAUUACAAGCUUCUUUAGGGACUUUCUUUUUAUUCAUCGCAUCCCAGCACUUAGGACAGUUCCUGGCACGCGGUAGGCACCUAAAACACAUCUAUUGGGCUGGAUUAGAUAACGCGGCCAUGUCUGGCGAAGCUUAAGGCACCGCAGAGGGGAGCAGGGGCCGGUGGGGCGGGUGGGGUGAGGACCGACCCCCUCUGCCAGGUAUCUCCCAAGCUGAAGCAAGCGCACCUUGAGCCAGCAGGUGGCGACAAGUCCCCUGUGGCUGCAGGACCACCCCCAC